AGUGAACGCUGGCGGUAGGCCUAACACAUGCAAGUCGAACGGCAGCACAGUAAGAGCUUGCUCUUACGGGUGGCGAGUGGCGGACGGGUGAGGAAUACAUCGGAAUCUACUUUUUCGUGGGGGAUAACGUAGGGAAACUUACGCUAAUACCGCAUACGACCUACGGGUGAAAGCAGGGGAUCUUCGGACCUUGCGCGAUUGAAUGAGCCGAUGUCGGAUUAGCUAGUUGGCGGGGUAAAGGCCCACCAAGGCGACGAUCCGUAGCUGGUCUGAGAGGAUGAUCAGCCACACUGGAACUGAGACACGGUCCAGACUACUACGGGAGGCAGCAGUGGGGAAUAUUGGACAAUGGGCGCAAGCCUGCUCCAGCCAUACCGCGUGGGUGAAGAAGGCCUUCGGGUUGUAAAGCCCUUUUGUUGGGAAAGAAAAGCAGCAGGUUAAUACCCCGCUGUUCUGACGGUACCCAAAGAAUAAGCACCGGCUAACUUCGUG
This 492-nucleotide ribosomal RNA is filed under the name uncultured bacterium. Its description in RNAcentral is "partial 16S ribosomal RNA". It matches the Rfam family "Bacterial small subunit ribosomal RNA", at positions 29 to 507 of the family's 1533-position model. The record is from RNAcentral.